GAGUUUGAUCUUGGCUCAGAUUGAACGCUGGCGGCAGGCCUAACACAUGCAAGUCGAGCGGAUGACGGGAGCUUGCUCCUUGAUUCAGCGGCGGACGGGUGAGUAAUGCCUAGGAAUCUGCCUGGUAGUGGGGGACAACGUUUCGAAAGGAACGCUAAUACCGCAUACGUCCUACGGGAGAAAGCAGGGGACCUUCGGGCCUUGCGCUAUCAGAUGAGCCUAGGUCGGAUUAGCUAGUUGGUGGGGUAAUGGCUCACCAAGGCGACGAUCCGUAACUGGUCUGAGAGGAUGAUCAGUCACACUGGAACUGAGACACGGUCCAGACUCCUACGGGAGGCAGCAGUGGGGAAUAUUGGACAAUGGGCGAAAGCCUGAUCCGGCCAUGCCGCGUGUGUGAAGAAGGUCUUCGGAUUGUAAAGCACUUUAAGUUGGGAGGAAGGGCAGUAAGUUAAUACCUUGCUGUUUUGACGUUACCGACAGAAUAAGCACCGGCUAACUCUGUGCCAGCCGCCGCCGU
Molecule: ribosomal RNA, 517 nt
Filed under: bacterium enrichment culture clone ALO1_GLFRUDD03F95OA
Lineage: Bacteria
Description: bacterial SSU rRNA
Rfam family: Bacterial small subunit ribosomal RNA
Source: RNAcentral